AGAUAGAGCUAAGAACAUCAAAUCACAGGUUAAGAGUAAUGUUGUCAACGUUAAUUUUCAUGUCACUCAGUACACAAAGAUUAUCGCUGAUUUACGUUUGGAGGUAACUGAAUUAAAAGCAAGGCUUAGCCAACAGUCUUCAAGCAGCGACAGUGGCAACCAUUCAGAGAAUGAAGGCAGAGUUUGUAAGAUUAAAGCAGAUCACCCUAGCCAAGAAGAUAUUAUGAAGUAAGAUUCUG
Molecule: long non-coding RNA, 239 nt
Organism: Anneissia japonica
Lineage: Eukaryota; Metazoa; Echinodermata; Crinoidea; Comatulida; Comatulidae
Exons: 3
Source: RefSeq, a predicted model, not a curated record